ACCCACAUUCUUGCUUCAUCUUCACCACCGCUUGGUGGAGGUGGAACCAGUACUGCCUUCCCACUCCAACCGCAUUCCCACUCCAGGACGCUGAGACCCAGAGAGGUUUCAUGAGGUCUCCCAAAAUGAUAACGAUGGAGUCAGAACUCAAAUGCUGAGGUAGCUGAGGUCCCGGCCCAAGUUCCCGGCCACGAAGUCGCGCUGCACCUGUUUCACUAUUUCCUGGCGCCUCGAGGGAUACCUGAGCAUCCCUUAAGCCAAAAAAAAAAAGCUUGAAUCCGGGCCAUCGCCCCUUCCCACCCCCGCCCCACUUUCCCUUCUGAAUUGGGGGGGCCUGGUCGGAGGCAGACCCCAGGAGAUUCCACCCGUCCCCUCGCGUUGGCCUCGCUCACCCACGGAUGAGUCAGCUGGAAUUUUUGGACACCCGGGCUCACAGCCGCGGUACCAGGAGCUGUCAGGGGGCUGGAAUGCGCGGAAUGCGGCUCCCUGGGCUCCCGCGUGCCCCCGCCCCACCCCGCCCCCAGGUUGAGAAGGUGAAUGACACAGUGUUUGUCAAGGGCUUGGGACGACAGGUGCACGCGAACAUGAGGACAAAGACCGAUUCUUUUCCGCAGGGCUGCAGCCACAGUUCACGUCCCUCCCACGCACGUCCGCGUUCCAGGCCCGGAUGCUCCGCGCCCCGGGCUCCGGCGAAGGGCACGAAGCCACUGAUUAGGAAGCGAAAAGGAAAAAAAAAGUCCCGGCUUCUAGAAAGACUUGAAUGUUCGACCCCUGCCUGAGUCUGACUUGGCCCUGCAACGCCACCAAGUACACGACUUGGAGUUUGUCGCCUACCUGCUCACAGGCCUCGGCGCGCGCGUUAAGGUGGUGGAGACGGCGGCCGCAGCCCUUCCCUCUCCAGUUUGCUUUCUAGAGGCAGGUUGAGAGAAGAAACGUGUGAGCGUGUAAUUACAGAAUGGGAUCAGGUGAGGAAGGAGACAGACCAGGUGCAGGAUGGAAAUGGGCAGGCGGUUCCUUUAAAAUGAAAUCUAACCCUUUGGGGCUGCGCCGGGCUGGCUAAAUUUGUCACGUGUCUGAGGCCUUAACUCCUGCCAGCCACCCAGAGCCCUUGUGGCCCGACUGUCACUUUGCCGGGUGGAUCCUGGGUCACCUUCUGAACUCUCUGCCUGCCUGGUGAGCCCCUCAGGGGCCAGGAAGCCUGGUCGUAUCUCACACUCUGGAGACUCAUGGGAAUUCCAUCUAACGCAUGUGGCCCAGAUCCCUUUGGUUUCGAAGCCAGGCACUGGUGAGACACAUAAAGAAUACUUCUUGAGGGGAUGGGCGUCCCCACACUCCAGCUGACUGUAGGAAGGACAGGAGGAAGAAGGGCUGUCAGCAAAGGAAUCAUGCUCAGGAAACCGUCCAUGCCGGAAGUCAGCCCGGGAGCCCUACUGGACCCAGAAUGUCCAUGUCACACACACAGGCUGGUGGACUCAGAAAGGCACAUCACACACACAGGCUGGUUAGGAGAGACGAAGGGUUGAGGGCAAAAAACUGACUGAUCAGCCUCUCCUCCGGAAGUUUGGGCCCUCAGAUGUUGCCUCGAUUACCUAUCGCAAGGAAGAAAUGCCAGAAUUCACCCAGGCCCUUGCUGACGCAGGGCACUAGAGAGAGAGAAACCACUGGGCUGAUUAUCUUGGCUUUAUCCUCCACAUCUGUUUCAGCUCAGCAUCUCUGCUUCUCAUCUUUAAAGAGAUGGCUGCAAGGCUAGAGAAUCUCAGAGCUGGAAAGGGUCUGAGAGACCUCACAUCUCACCUCCUUCUUUCGGAGAUAAGAGCCGUGUCACUUGAGAGGCCGUGACUCACUCAAGGCCACACGGCGUGGGGGGUGGGGGGUGCGGGGUGGGGAGCUGGGAUUGCAGCUCUCCCUUCCCAGGCCAGAGCUUUUCCCAGUUCUCCAAGCUGCCUCUCGGAUCCCGCCAAGUUGUUCCCACGCUGGCCUGGUUUAGGCCUCAUUAGUAAGAAAAGCUGGCUGUGGUCCUUUCUCAUCCCCCCACCCCCACUGCCUCUCGAAAAAGAAAGGAGAUGCUCUUCCAGAACAGAGCCAGGAUGGUUUUGCUUGUCAUCUGAUGUCUGGGAGUGCCCAUGCCAGGCUCCACUCCAGGGGUACAGCUCCUUGCCCUCACAUGGUGUCAUAAAAGAAUUCACCCUCCUGCCAACCUUGAGCAUAGAAGGCCGUUUCUCAGCUGGGACUCAAGCCACCUUGGGGGCCAAGACAUCAGAGAGACUGUGCUCGGCUCUUACCAGCUGUGUGCUCCUUGGCCAAGGUCUGUCCUUGGAAGGCAGGUGCUCCCCAAGGAGUCCCAACCCCAUUUCCUGGCCAGUCACCUUCACCCAAGCCAAGUCGAGACUCUCUCUGGAAGGUGCUCCACAUCCAUUCUGGAAGGGAGGAAUAUUCCCACCUCCAGUCCUUUUUUUAUUUCCAGCCACACUUCCAGUAGUCAUGUACGGAUAUGAAAGUUGGACUAUAAAGAAAGCUGAGCGCCGAAGAAUUGAUGCUUUUGAACUGUGGUGUUAGAGAAGACUCUUGAGAGUCCCUUGGACUGCAAGGAGAUCCAACCAGUCCAUUCUGAAGGAGAUCAGCCCUGGGAUUUCUUUGGAGGAAAUGAUGCUGAAGCUGAAACUCCAGUACUUUGGCCGCUUGAUGCGAUGAACUGACUCCUUGGGAAAGACCCUGAUGCUGGGAAAAAUUGAAGGCGGGAGGAGAAGGGGACGACAGAGAAUGAGAUGGUUGGAUGGCAUCACCGACUCAAUGGACAUAAGUUUGAGUAAGCUCCUGGAGUUGGUGAUGGGCAGCGAGGUGUGCUGCAGUCCUUGGAGUCCCAAAGAGUCAGCCACGGAGGAGCGACUGGACUGACUGACACUGCGUGGCUUAUGGGAUCUUAGUUCCCCGGUGUACAUGCUAAGUCGCUUCAGUUGGUUGACUCUGCGACCCUAUGGAUCAUUGCCCGCCAGGCUCCUCCAUCCAUGGGAUUCUCCAGGCAAGAAUACUGGAGUGAGUUGCUAUGCCCUCCUCCAGGGACUCUUCCCACUCAGGGAUGGAACUCCCAUCUCUUGCGUCUGCUGCAUUGACAGGUGGAUUCUUUACCACUAGUGCCACCUGGGAAGCCCCUUAGUUCCCCUACCAGGGGUCAAACCCCGGGCCCUUGGCAGUGAAAGCACUAACCACUGACCACCAGGGAACUCCCCCUCCCUAUUUUUUUUUUUUAACAGAUGUGGAAAUCCAGGUUCAGAGCGGUUAAGUUACCUGCCCAUGGUCACCCAGCUAGUGAGGGGCAGAGUCAGAAUUUGAACUCUGGUUCAAACCCAUCUCUUUCUGUGGCACCCCUCCACGUGCCCCAAAGGAGCUCGAGGCAUCUCAAGACACCCUUCCCGUGCUCAGAAGUAGUCCCCCCUGGCUUGCCUGGGUGCCUGAAACCCCCCCACUGGAGUAUCUGCUGCUGACCCCAGCCUUUUAAGCAGGAAAGGCCAGGGAUGGACAGGGGGAGGGUAUACAAAGGUUUGAUCAGGGUGGGACCAACCUGGGCCCCAGGGGCGAGGGCUUGGGGGCAGGGGAAGUGGCCCAGGGGAGAAAAGGCUGACUGGGGGAGGCGGGGCCCAGAGGCUGGCAGGACAGGGCAUGAGGGAGCACCAGUGGGGAUGAGGGAGGCUCCCUCCAAACCCCACAGGGCCGGCUCUGGGGCAGGGACUGGCUUUGGAGUGGAAGGGCCCAGCGUGACUGGGAGGCAUUAGUCAGCGGUGGAGGUUUAUGAAAGGAGGAAUUGUCCGGAGCCUCCUUACUCACCAGGCCAACUGGGCUGUCCCAGAGAGCGGGAGCAGGGCCGGUAUCAGAAGGGGACCGGGAACUCCGAGCUGCUCACUGCCCAGGUUGAAUGGCCCCAGGCAUCUGGGGGCCACGCUCGGGGGCCCUGUCCGGCCUCACGGCCUGUGAGUCACAGUCCUUGGCUGGCGGGCUGAGUGUCUUCAUUGUCCUCUCGGCCAGGGGACAGCGGGGCCCGACUCCCUCCUCCUGGGAGAAAGGACGCCCCGGGCUGAUUCACCAGUUUAUCACCCUGCUGCCCCCUCCGUCUGAGGCCCCCAGCAUAUUCACCUCCCAUCCCUUCUUCAGUCUUUCAUACAGUCAUUCUUUUUCUUAUUGUUGUUUUGCGUCAAUCUUUAUUUUUCCAAUUUGCAACAGUAAUCUAUUGACUGUUAUUCCGCCUUAAAAGGGGAUGAAAUACUGACCUACGCUACAGCAUGGAUGAACCUUGAGGACACUAUGCUAAGUGAAUAAGCCGGCUGCAAAAGGACAAAUUCUGUAUGAGUCCGUGCAUGUGAGGUUCCUAGAAUAGUCAAAAUCUUCAGGGCAGAAGUUAGAGUAGAGGUUGACAGGUCAAGGGGAGAAGGCAGCAGGCUUUGUGCUUUAAAGGUGCAGAGUUUGAGUUCGGCAAGGUGGAAAGUGUUCUGGAGAUGGACCGUGUUGAUGGUGGCAAAGCAAAGCUGAUGUACUGAGACCGUACACUUCAAAAUGUCUAAAACCGUAAAAGUUUAUAUUUUGUAUAUUUUAUCACAAAAGCAAAGAUGAUCUAUUAUUCAAACGAUACAGAAAAGUAGGAAAAGUAGAGACCUCCCUGUUGGCUAAGAUUCCGAGCUCCCAAUGCAGGGGGCCUGGGUUCGAUCCCUCGUCGGGGAACUAGAUCCCACCCGCUGCAACUAGGAAUCUGCCUGCUGCCACGAAGACUGAAGAUCCUGAGUGCCGAGACUAAGACCUGGCUCAGCCAAAUAAGUAAAUCAAUUAAAAAAAUUUUUUUAAUGUUUUUAAAGUAAAAGGUAAAUGUCCUCACCCCAGCCUCUGGAAUAUUUCAGACUUAACUUCUGUUCCUGUAUAAUCAUAGAUGUGACUUUAACAAAAAGUCAGUGUGUGAUGGGAAGGGUGCCCGCCACACUCCUGGUCUUUCUCCCUUUGAAGGACACACGCGUCUCACUAACCCCAGGUGCCAGCCCAGCGCCAGGUGGCAAGGUCGAUAACCACCAUCUGGCAGGAGCUCAGCGGUGUCUCCUGUGGGGCUUAAACCCUCACACACAUGAACUCACUUCAUCCUUCCACCAGCGUGGUGAGGAAGGGGUUGUUCAUGCCCUCCUCAAAGCCCAGUUCAUAAAUGAAGACUCAGAGGCUUUCAGAGUUGAGGGAUGUGCCCAGAUCGCAUCACUAGAUGGAGGCAAAGCAGGAGGUAUUUCCCCCCUGAGCCGUUAAGUUGUUCUGUAGACAGAGAUGGGCCACGAGCAGAGUGAUGGUUUGUAGCAGGGGUCCCCAGCCUCCAGGAUGAACUGGGGUGGGGCUGAGGUCAUGACAACAGGAAUAAAGUGCGCGGUACAUGUAAUGUACCUGAAUCAUCCCGAAACCUCCCCCCCACCCCGAGUGCAAAUUGUCUUCCACGAAACCGGUCCCUGGUGCCAAAAAGGCUGGGGCCGGCGGGUUUACAGCACAUUUGCUCACUUCAUAGUAAUCCCUUAAUUUCUGGCUUCCCUGGGGCAGGGCUCCUGUGGUCUCUCUCGCUAACUGGCCCUCCUCAAGCCCUGGAACACAGUAGGUGUUCAACAAAUAUUUGCAGAGAGGCUAGUUCUCAUUCAUGUCUCUGUCUGAUCAUCCCCCACAGCCCUGUGAAGUAGAUAAUUAGGAAAUCUGAUGGCUGCCGGUCUUACUCAUCCGGCUAGCAGGCAAGAUGGUCACACGGCCGGGCUGGGCUGCUAAGGUGGAGCCCCAGGCUUCUGGCUCCCUUCCCAGGCCUUUCCAAUUCAGCUGUCGAGGCCUGGGCCCCUGAUGUUACAGAACAAGGAUAAUUAAUUGGGAGCAGGAACACUUUGAGUCAUAACCAGCAAUAAUAAUAAUAAUAAUUGCAGUCAUACUCAUUGCAAUCUUUAACUCAUAUAAACCUGUAUCAGUAGCACCAAUGAGGCACUAAUGUUAUCUCAGGGCUUCAGUUAGGCCUGGAAGUUCAAUUGUAAGUGCCUCAACAUCACACACAGUUCAGAGGCGGCGGAGCUGGGAUUCAGGCUCCAGCCGGCUCCAGGGCCCAGAGGCCACACACCACUAAACACUUGAGGACCGAUUAGUAUUGUCAGCUGGACCCACGGCACAGCCAGGCUGAACUUUGGAGAGAGAUAGGGCCGAAUCCCACCCUCAUUCAUUCUUUUGGUCAGCAAGCCUGUACUGAGCCACACCCUUGAGCUCGACCAAGUGUCUGUCCCCAGGACUUGACCUGACCUGGACGGAGGCUCGCCCCACCCCAGCAGAGCCUUUGGCCUGGUGGGAGAGGCCGAUGUCUUAAUUACACGGCUAAUUGUCUCAUUAGAGCAAAGAUGAGUACCACUCGAAGGGUUUGGGUUCUGCCAGCCUCCUAGGGCACAGGCCUGGCCUGGGGGAGCUAACAUCUCUGCUGAAAUUUGAAGGGUGGGCCGGGGUCAGGUGAGCGGAGUGGGAGAGCUUUCCAAGCAGAGAGGGCAGUGGCGUGGCUCUGACUAGAACAAAACUGCUGUGGCUGGAGCUGGUGAGAGGAUGGGAAGGAGUAGCGGGGUUGGGGGUUUUGGGGGCGUGGGGGCCAGCACCUGAGUCCUCCCCUAGCAACUCGGGCUCCUAUAAUCAGCUCACUGGCACUGUUAUCCUUAAAGAGCAAGUGUGAAAGGGAACAUUAGAAAUUCCCAUUCCUCAGGUCUUCCCUGGCAGUCCAGUAGUUAAGACUCUGCAUGUCCACUGCAGGGGGCACAGGUUCGAUCCCUGGUCAGGGAACUAAGAUCUCACUGGAAAAAAAAAAAAAAGAAGUUGCCAUUCCCCCUCCAGUUGGUGGGGCUGGAUGGGUCCUCCCAGGAGCAUCGAUUCCACUCCCCACCGCGCGUCUGCACAGCUGUUUGCACUGGACACCACGCUCUUGGUCCUGUUUGACCCUCAUGACCACGUGGAGGGAGCAAAGUCCGGCUUCCCGAGCAGGGCCUGCGACCCUGGAGGUGAUAAGGCAGCCCUGAUCACGGGGCUCUAACCGUCGAAGCUGCUGCAGAGCCGAUGGCCGGUUGGAAGGGAAGCCCCUCCAGGGUCUUCUGACUGCCUACCCAAGCGACACCUGCCCCGAGGGACUGGGGCAGAACCUGAGGAGGAAAACUACAGUAAGAAGGAUCUUCGAAACCCCUGCUGAGUGUGCCUUUUGGUUCACAAAGCGCUUCUAUAUCCCAUUCUCAGCACGAAACAGAAGGGUAGGGCCUGGGAGCCAGGCUGCGGUGAUACAGGCCUCAGUUCACCCCUUUGCUGGCCUGUAACCCCCAGACCUCACCUCUCUGAGCCUCAGUUUCCUCCUCUGCCCAGUGAAAGCAGCAACGCCACUUCUCUCUUCCCAUGGCUCACGGCUGCGUGUCUGGCCAGCCUGUGGCUGCCUCGCUCCUGGCCCUGCUGCCUCCUUCCCCCCCGCCAGGGUGCUGCCUUUGCGCCGCACCAGACACCCGGCCUCUGCCAGGCGGGGAGCUGACUCAGACCUCGGUCCACCAACACGCUGCCGGGGUGGACGGGCCCAGACAGCCAGGGGAUUCUUGUCCCGACUCCCCUCCGGCAGCCAGGCAGCGUUUGGCAGGCCCGGCUGGGGCCUGGGUGAGAAAGAGGGAGGCGGGGAGGGGAGCCCCCGAUGGGAAGGCUCGGAUUUAGCCAGCGCAGGCCUUUGUGUUCUGAAAUGCCAGGCCAGGGCAGUGAGCUCUGCCAACGAGGAGACUGGCCUCCAACAAUAAUGUUUUUCCCUGGGUUUCCAGAAAGCAUCAGCUGCUUUCUAAUUCAAACCAUCAGGAGGAGGUUCACAUGUGCUGAGUCUCAAAACCCCCGAGAAAGAACACGGCUGCCCCUUGCCAGACAAGAGCUGGCCUGGAUGGGACAGGGGAGGUGGGGUAGGGUGGGCAUGGCCAAGGGGUCCCUGGAUGCGAGACUGAGCACCUCCCUGGGCCCCCACGUGUCCAUCCCAGACCUGCAGCUGGGAUCUCCCCAGGGCUGGCUUGCUGGUCACUCUAGCCAUGUCCACAGGGGUCACUCCCCCUUGUGCCAGAAACUGCCAGGCAUUGGAGUGGUCACUGUGUCUGUUAACUGUGGUUCACACUGACCGAGCACAUGUCCGCCAGCAUUCGCACCAACUGCUUUCCAGCCACAGUCUCUGGGCCACCUGCUAUUAUUCCAUUCUACAGACUAGAAAGAUGUUCGUCUCAGCCAGGUGAAGUUCCCCGGGCUUCCAGCCCUGGGGCUGCCUCCGGCGCUCCCCUGCCAGGCCUUGCUGCUCGGCACACAAAAGAUGUAAGACUCGCCACUUCACAACUACUAGGCUGGCAAGAGUCAGAAAGUCAGAUAAUGACAAGUGACGGCCAAGACGUGGAGAAAUCCAUCCUUGCACGCUGCUGGUGGGAAUGGGAAAUGGUUCAGCCACUUUGGAACACAGUCUGGCGGUUCCUCAACUAAACACAGAGUUACCGUAUGACCCAGCAGUGCCACUCCUGGGUAUCUACCCAGGAGAAACCAAAACACACGUCCUCACAAAGACUCAUAUGGGAAUACUCACAGCAGCGUUAUUCAUCAAAGCCAAAACGUGGAAACGAGCCAAAGGCAUAAACAUACUGUGGUCUGCCCGUACAAUGGAAUAUUAUUCAGCCAUACAAAGGAUGAAGUGCUGAUACACACUACAACAUGGAUGGCCCUUGAAAGCAUUGUGCUGAGCGAAACGAUCCAGUCGUAAGUCCACAUAUUGUACGGUUCCACUCGUGUGAAAUAUCUGCUCUAGGGAAAUCCACAGAGACACACAGGAGGGACUGGGGGUUAGGGGGACCAUGUGGGGCAGGUGAGACAGACAAAAGGUCCAGGAUCUACUUUUUUUGGGGGGGUGAUGAUCAAAAUGUCUUAAAAUGGACUGUGACCGUGGUUGCCCAGCUCUGUGAAUACACUAAAAAAUCAUUUCAAUGGGGUAAUUGCAUGGUGUGUAAAUUCCAUCUCAGUAAAAAUGUUUAAGAAAGAAAGGAUUUAUGGUGUAGCCUUUAAGGAGCUCACAGAUGAGAGAAGAAAGCAAUGAGAGAAAUGCCAACAAUUCCAUUCAUGACCUAAGAAAGCACAGGUCAUUCCAUCUGAGACUCUGAGGGCAUAGUGCUAUGGGAAGGGAGGAGGACUGUCUCUCAGCCCAGGGAGCUGGAGCAAAGAGGGAGGCAACCCAGGGAAGCUUCCUGGAGUAGGUGACACUGGAC
This is a long non-coding RNA of Bos taurus (domestic cattle), 9269 nucleotides long. NCBI's taxonomy places the organism in Eukaryota, Metazoa, Chordata, Mammalia, Artiodactyla, Bovidae. The record is from Ensembl.